UGCUCACUGUUUAUAUAAAGAGCCGCAGUAUAUUAACUGUGCUAAGGUAGCAUAAUAAUUUGUUUUUUAAUUAAAAACUAGAAUGAAAGGGUUAACGAAAUAAUAACUGGUUUUUACUUGUUGUUUAAAAUUUUAUUUUUAAGUGAAAAAGCUUAAAUUUAACUAAAAGACGAGAAGACCCUAAGAAUUAUAUUUAAUAAUAGUUAAAUAAUUUAAAAUAAUAUGUAUUAUUAACUAUUAUUUAAAUUUAACUGGGGCGGUUCAUAAGUAAAUUUAUUUAAUAUAAAAUUAUCCUUAUGUUAUUUUAAACUAUAUUUAGAAUGAUUGAAGUCUAUUAUGUAAAUUUAUCGAAAAAUUACCUUAGGGAUAACAGCGUAAUUUAAAUUUAAAGUUCCUAUAAUAAUUUUAGUUUGCGACCUCGAUGUUGGAUUAAGAAAUUUAUUAAAGCAGAUUUUAAUAAUAAGGGUCUGUUCGACCCAUUAUUUCUUACGUGAUCUGAGUUCA
Molecule: ribosomal RNA, 504 nt
Filed under: Heterosaccus dollfusi
Lineage: Eukaryota; Metazoa; Arthropoda; Thecostraca; Sacculinidae
Description: partial 16S ribosomal RNA
Rfam family: Archaeal large subunit ribosomal RNA
Source: RNAcentral